CCUACGGGUGGCAGCAGUGAGGAAUAUUGGUCAAUGGACGGAAGUCUGAACCAGCCAUGCCGCGUGCAGGAUGACGGCUCUAUGAGUUGUAAACUGCUUUUGUACAAGGGUAAAUCUGAAUACGUGUAUUCAGAUGAAAGUUCUGUAAGAAUAAGGCUCGGCGAAAUCCGUGCCAGCCGCCGCGGUAAUACGGAGGAUCCAAGCGUUAUCCAGAUUUAUUGGGGUUAAAGGGUGCGUAGGCGGAUUGAUCAGUUAGAGGGGAAAAGUUCGGGCUUAACUCGGGUACUGCCUCUAAUACUGAUGAUCUAGAGAGUAGGUGCGGUAGGCGGAAUGUAUGGUGUAGCGGUGAAAUGCUUAGAGAUCAUACAGAACACCGAUUGCGAAGGCAGCUUACCAAUCUAUAUCUGACGUUGAGGCACGAAAGCGUGGGGAUCGAACAGGAUUAGAUACCCGUGUAGUC
Molecule: ribosomal RNA, 460 nt
Filed under: uncultured bacterium
Lineage: Bacteria
Description: partial 16S ribosomal RNA
Rfam family: Bacterial small subunit ribosomal RNA
Source: RNAcentral